Molecule: ribosomal RNA, 463 nt
Filed under: uncultured bacterium
Lineage: Bacteria
Description: partial 16S ribosomal RNA
Rfam family: Bacterial small subunit ribosomal RNA
Source: RNAcentral
GAUGAACGCUGACAGAAUGCUUAACACAUGCAAGUCGAUGGGGAAGUGGUGCUUGCACCCUGGCAACCAUGGCGGACGGGUGAGUAACGCGUAAGGGACUUACCUGCAGGACUGGGAUAACAGGGGGAAACUCCUGACAAGACCGGAUAUUGUCAUGGAGCUGCAUGGCUUUAUGAUGAAAGGAGACGCCUGCGGAGAGCCUUGCGUCCUAUUAGCUAGUUGGUGAGGUAAUGGCUCACCAAGGCGAAGAUAGGUAGCCGGCCUGAGAGGGUGGACGGCCACAAGGGGACUGAGAUACGGCCCUUACUCCUACGGGAGGCAGCAGUGGGGAAUAUUGGACAAUGGGGGCAACCCUGAUCCAGCAAUUCUGUGUGCACGAAGAAGGUUUUCGGAGUGUAAAGUGCUUUCAGCAGGGAAGAAGUAAGCGACGGUACCUGCAGAAGAAGCGACGGCUAAAUACGUG